AUUACCCGCUGAACUUAAGCAUAUCAAUAAGCGGAGGAAAAGAAACCAACAGGGAUUGCCUUAGUAGCGGCGAGUGAAGCGGCAAAAGCUCAAAUUUGAAAUCUGGUACUUUCAGUAUCCGAGUUGUAAUUUGAAGAAAGUUAUCUUGGAGUUGGCCCUUGUCUAUGUUCCUUGGAACAGGACGUCACAGAGGGUGAGAAUCCCGUGCGAUGGGGUGCCCAUUCUAUGUAAGAUACUUUCGACGAGUCGAGUUGUUUGGGAAUGCAGCUCUAAGUGGGUGGUAAAUUCCAUCUAAAGCUAAAUAUUGGCGAGAGACCGAUAGCGAACAAGUACAGUGAUGGAAAGAUGAAAAGAACUUUGAAAAGAGAGUG
Molecule: ribosomal RNA, 371 nt
Filed under: [Candida] boidinii
Lineage: Eukaryota; Fungi; Ascomycota; Pichiomycetes; Pichiales; Pichiaceae
Description: eukaryotic LSU rRNA
Rfam family: Eukaryotic large subunit ribosomal RNA
Source: RNAcentral